GCAGAUAGAAGCGUUAUCUAAUACGUGCUGGUAGUUUUGUAGUGAAUUGCAGAGACAGUUAAUUUGCACUUCUGGGUGGGUUUCACUUUAUAUGUUUUAGAUUUAUUUUUGGUGUUGAAAUGCAGAAAGCUAGCCUCUCCCAUCACUAUAGUUAACCACUUGAAUAGUUAGCUGCAGUGACCACCAUUUACUGAACUAAUUAAAGCAGCGUUGAAUACACUACAUGUUGAGUGUUAAGCCUCUUUGUAAGAGAGCAGUCCAGUUUUGAGCCAAAGCUCCCACAGAUGAAAAAUGAUUAUGAUAUAAAAGGGGUUUUGGAAAAAUGCUUCAUUCAAGGUCUGUGGUUAAGCCAAGUGUAAGACAGUUUUAUGUAACUUAUGAGUAGACAGUCUGGGGUUAGUAUCAGUCUUCUCAUCUAACUCUCAGCAUGAAAGCGAAUAAGCAUAUUAUCUUAAGUCUGUAAAGAUGUGAGGUCUAUAUUUUAGCCUGAAGACUUCAACCACUUUUAUCUUACAAAUUAGUGCUAACUUUUUAUUAGUGCUGCUAUGCAUAUGAUAAGAUACAUAAACAUGAUAAGACUGCUUCUAACACAAAGUUUAUUAUCUGCUUCGGUUGAUUCAAAUUCCAUGGCCCAUUGAAGUUGUUGUACAGCUGCAGUCGACAAACCAUGUCUGAGUGAACUUCUAGGUGGACCCACAAAUAGACGUCAUCGCAGUACUGUAUGAAAGAAGUACUCCUAAUCAGUUGGGAGUGUAAUAGUCAGCUAGUGUUGCUGGGAAAUUUUAGUCACCUUGGUAGUGUUAGCCUGGUCACGAUUACAGCCUAACAACACACCUAAACAAGCCUAUACACCAUUUAAAGUGCAAGGUCACGUACAUUAUAUAACUAAAUGAACACACUUUACCAUGAAAAGAGACAAGGCAACAAACACAAACAACUCAGCACCUCAUCAGAAUGAAUAAACAGCUGACAGGACCACGCCAGUCAAGGCAGAUCGGUGCACCACCUGUUUGAACAUGCAACAUUUUUGCAGAGUUAAUGAAAACAAUGAACUCUGGAGCCCUGAACUGUGUGAGUGUACGUGUGCGUCUUUGUGACAUUGUGUUUCUGUUUGCUGCAUGCAUGCUUCAGCAAAGAAACAAACCCGCAAAACCAGUGAGCUACUGUUAGGGGGUAUCGCACAUAACCUCUUAGCUGCUGCAAGGCCAUUGGUACUGAAGCUUUGCUAGUCGUGACUGUGUGAGAACAGCCCUGUUUUCACCACUGAGUGGCGCUGCUGCUCUUAAAAACUGCACUUCCUUAUUCUGCACCACAGAAACCAACAAGUUUAUCUCAUGUAGAGCACCUUGCACUGCUAUAAUAUGGCCACUACAACACUUAACGCUGUAGUUUGAUAAAUGCAAUGCAACCUUUUUAUGCUGCAAGAAAACCUCCACAGCAAAGACACUAUUGUGUGGCAGCAAAAAGCUUUUUAUUUUGAUAGAGCAAAAUGAGGAAAAUGUUUACUGGGCAAACACAAGCUGUGCAGCCAACCGUGCACCCUCCUUCAGGCUACUGACUAAGAGACAGACAGACAGAUGGAUGGAUAGAUCUUGUAGUUAGAAGAGCCUAGGUGCUAUGUGGUCAUCAUGUCCUCAUUUGGAUCUGGUCAGCAGGGCAGCGUAUCAGAAUGACCAUACAUGGUGUGCAGAGAAAGAGGGUCUCUACUCAAUCUCUCCACCCCGUUUUGAGAGAGCCCGUCACCCCCCUACUCACACACUUUCUGGCACACAUAAGAUACACAAAAUAGGAUGGGCUAAACCAUGGACAAGAAAGUUCACAUGUCCACUGUCCAUUCUUUCAGUCAUCUAGUGCUCCCUGUUGCUCAAACUUUCUCUUAACUUUCCAAAAGUCUUCCUGUUUGCUGCUGUUCACUCUGCCCUCUCUUCUCACAAAGACCUUGUUCAUUCAACUACCUGCAUUUACCUACAGGAAGAGAAGUGAAGGGAGGUACAGAAAGCACCUUGGCCCAGCCUGCCGCACCUUCCUUCCCUCGGGAUUUUCCACAUCUGAGCACAGACCUCCGCUUUGUUUUGACGUUCUCUGAAAUUACUCAGGUCUAGCGGAGAUAAAGGAGCGAUCUACCUCUCUGUACCUGGCUUUGGAUGUUUGGAGUGGCACAUAUUUCCCACGCUGCUUUUCCUUUUUUCUUUCUUUUUUUUUUCUGAAUGGAAAAUGGAGUCGCCAUGUGAACUGGGACGUAGGUACACAAGCAAACAGGCUUGACUGUGGCAGAACAAGUCUCAGCAAAACAAAGACAGAGGGUAGCACAUGAAAAGAGGCACAGGUUAACAGUUAUUGCACAAACGGUGAAGACAAAGACACUGUUGCUUUGAUAGACGAUGAGCCAGACCAGCAGAAUGAGGACUGUGAACAGACAUCUGGAACUGACAGUCCAAAGCCCGUCCCUGAC
Siniperca chuatsi (mandarin fish) is the source of this 2452-nucleotide long non-coding RNA. RefSeq lists it as uncharacterized. The transcript is spliced from 3 exons. Lineage: Eukaryota; Metazoa; Chordata; Actinopteri; Centrarchiformes; Sinipercidae. The record is from RefSeq and is a predicted model, not a curated record.